RNAcentral lists this non-coding RNA (98 nucleotides) under Kluyvera ascorbata. Lineage: Bacteria; Pseudomonadati; Pseudomonadota; Gammaproteobacteria; Enterobacterales; Enterobacteriaceae. The record is from RNAcentral.
GAUUUGGUCGCUGCGCUCCGUUUAAGCCAGUCACCACGGUUCAGAAGUUCCCCAACUUACUGAACCUUGAAAAAACCGCCUCCCCAGGCGGUUUUUUC